Molecule: unclassified non-coding RNA, 3944 nt
Filed under: Hevea brasiliensis (rubber tree)
Lineage: Eukaryota; Viridiplantae; Streptophyta; Magnoliopsida; Malpighiales; Euphorbiaceae
Source: RNAcentral
UUCUUUUGUCCCACAACAAAUAACGGAACUAUCAUUUGACGACACUCGGUGCACCUCACGAAGCCUUCUCCACUCCUCAUCUUCGACCAUUCCUUUGGUUUAACAAUAACUCCAAACCUCCGAGGCUCCGACAAAGUAUCCAUGAGCUUCAGUUUAGCGCGCUUCUUCCUCCAAAUUGGAAAUUCUUCAAAAGCUGCAAAUAUCAGCAGCAGCAACUAUGGCUAUCUGCUUUCAACUCCCAACACACGCAAAUUUACCGCGAUUCCCACCACCAGAGCUCAUAAGUCGAUUGAGGAGCUGCUGGUGGUGGUUGGAGGCGGCGCUGCUGGGGUGUAUGGGGCAAUUAGAGCCAAGACUGUGGCACCUAAUCUUAAUGUGGUGGUUAUGGAGAAGGGAAAGCCUCUAUCCAAGGUGAAAGUAUCUGGGGGAGGCAGAUGCAAUGUCACAAAUGGGCAUUGUUCUGACCAUAUGAUUUUGGCAGAACAUUAUCCUAGGGGUCAUAGAGAAUUGAAAGGAUCUUUCUUCAACACACAUGGCCCAGUGGAUACCAUGUCCUGGUUUUCUGAUCAUGGGGUAGCACUGAAGGUUGUCAUGAAAACUGCCUAUAUUUUGUUACUUCCCUUAUUCUGUUAUUUAUGCUUAUGUGCCUAUAGAUUGAGGAUGAUGGAAGGGUGUUUCCCACCAGCAAUAGCUCGUCUUCAAUUAUUGAUUGUCUUCUAACCGAGGCAAAGCACAAGGGAGGUAGGUUUUUCUUAGCCCACAGUUCAUGUAUUUUAAUUUGCUGGCCUCAACUUAAAACUUAUGCAUUUUUAUAGCAAUCUCUCUUUCUUCCUGUUUCUUUCUUCUUUUUCUUCAAAGUAUCUGUUUGGCAUAAAGAUAAUAUUAUCAGUAACUCAAGGGUGUAAUCCCCAUUCUGAAUAACAUUUUAUGAGAUGUUGAUUUAUGAGCCUUCAAAGCUGGUCUUGUAACUCUUGGGAAGAUGUUUAUUUGUUCCUUUUGGGAUAUGAAUUUUAGACCAUUUAAAUAGGAGUCUUCUCAAUAUUGUGAAAAUUUUGAAAGCUAUUCAAUCUAAAAUGUGAGUUCCUCUAUUAGUUUCUCUACAAACUGGAAAAGUUGUAAUAAAUGCUUCUGUUGAUGCUGGUGGAAAGUUUCAUCUGAAGAUUGAGAAACGUACAGUUUUUGAAUCUGUUGAAGCUGAUUAUCUAUUGAUUGCGAGCGGGAGUAGCCGACAGGGUUAUAGUCUUGCAACUCAGCUUGGCCAUUCAAUUGUGGAUCCAGUACCAAGUUUAUUUACUUUCAAGAUUGAAGAUUCAUUGCUUGCAGAGUUGUCAGGGGUUACAUUUCCUAAAGUUGAAGCCAAGCUGAAAUUAGAAAAUGUCCAAAGGAAUAUUCCAUACCUUAAACAGGUUGGGCCUAUGCUAGUUACACAUUGGGGACUCAGUGGGCCAGUAAUUCUCCGGUUAUCUGCUUGGGGUGCUCGUGAUCUGUUUACUUCAGGUUACAAAGGCAUGCUUAUAGUGGAUUUUAUACCUGAUUUGCAUAUAGAAGACAUAAAGUCAAUCCUCAGUCAACACAAGAAUAAAUUUGCGAAGCAAAAAGCAGUCAAUUCAUUUCCUUCAGAAUUUGGCCUUGCAAAGAGAUUUUGGAAAUAUAUAUUGGAUCGUGAGAGUUUAAUUGGAGAUACCUUAUGGGCUUCCAUAUCAAAUAACUUUAUCAUUUCUAUUGCCGAUCUUUUGAAACAUUGUACAUUUAGCAUAAAAGGAAAGGGGCAAUUUAAGGAUGAGUUCGUCACUGCUGGAGGAGUUCCUUUGUCCGAGGUUCUCUCUUGGCCUGUUUGGCAUUGCUGUUUAGAAAAAUAUUUUUUUUAUAUACAUUAGUUAGAGAGUAUUUAAAAUUAAAUUUGUUAAGUUUUAAUUAUAAGAAUACUAAAAUAAUAAAAUGAUUUUUUCUAAAUUGUUUUUUUUAACAGCACCUAAAAUAGUGCUUUUUCCUGAAAAGCAAUUUUGUCCUUCCAAGUUCCAACCUCAAUGCUAAACAAGCACGCACAUACACACACACUCUCUCUCUCUUUCUGACACACACACAUACACGCGCACGCACACAAACACACAUAUUUACUUAAAAUAUAAAUGUUUUUUUUUUCUUUCAUGAAGAUCUACUUGAACACAAUGGAAAGCAAGAUAUGUCCGCGGCUAUUCUUUGCAGGAGAGGUACUGAAUGUUGAUGGGGUGACUGGUGGUUUUAAUUUCCAGAAUGCAUGGUCUGGUGGAUACAUUGCCGGUACAAGCAUAGGUGAACUAGCAGCAAUUGAAGAUACUCAAAAAGAGGGAGUUUUAUGAGAUGAAAAUUUAGUUCAUUAACUUCUUCAAUUAUAAGUUUAUGUAUGUGUACGUGAUUGACUCAACUCUUGCUUGUACAUGUACAAUUGAAUUGCAAAACAGACCUCAUUUUUUAUGUAUUCCCUUCUUCAUAUUCAAGUCUACAAAAUGCAAAUGAAUUUUAAGUCAUUAACAAAAUAUUUUGUCUGCUUUAGGUAUUUGUAGGUUCCUGUCAAUAAUGCUUCUAAGAUGAUCUUUAACUUCCUGGUUAGAUCAUCACAUCAUCACACAAAUAUAUAUAUAUAUAAAGCAAGAUGUUUUUCUUCUAUAGGCCUCCAAGUGUCACUUCUGAAUCACUCUAUUUGAUUUUGUAAAAUUGUUCUUUUAUCUAAGUUUACCUUUUUUUUUUAAGUAAUACGUAUUUUAAUUUAUGUAAUUAAUUAAUAAAAGUAAUUAUUUUUAUCAUUAUGUUGAUAUGGUUUUGAUAGAGAUGUUUUUGUUUCAACAGUCCCAGGUGCUAUUACUCUUUCUGGCCCAAGACCAUUCAAAGUUUAUACUAGAAGGAGGAACGAAGGAAGAGACAAGGAGUGUACUACACUGCUGCAAAUAGACAAGGAGAGUACUACACAGCUGGAAAUGGACGUUGGAGAGAAAUAUGGAGGAAGGAACAUGUGGCUGAAAGCAGUUACUGGAAGGGGAGGAAAACAGAAUAUAAGGGAUGGAGAAUAGAGAAGAAGCAUUCUGGAAUGACUGGGUAAUUUUGGGCAGAAUUGUUAUCUGAACGGGAAUCUUCCUGGGGGUUGGAUCAUCAGCCAUUUUAUCUUUCUUUUAUCUUCCUAUUUGGUAGUUGAAUCCAUCAAUGUAAUUGUAUUUCCUAAUGGUUGUAUUGUACAGAAGGUCUAUCAAACCUUUGUAUUACUUUAAUACAAUCAAUCAUAGAUCCUAUAUUGUUCUUGCUUGAGUUAAUUUUCUGUUGAUAAAUAUUCCUUACUCUACCAAUUUGGUCCGAUCUGCUGGAUCCAUAUGCCAAAAACAAGAAUGGAGGGAAGAAUGGGACAGGCAGAGAGGAAAGUAAGUACCAUCGAGGAAGCUAUAGCUGCUAUGCGCCUAGACCAAAAGCAGAGAUUUAGUCGAUUGGAAAAUAUGAUAGUAGCAAUGGCUAAGGACAAAACGACUGUCCUAGUGGGAGACUGUCGUGGUGGGAGAAACAUCAAAUGAAGGUACCUAAACAUUUUUGGGCUGAUGCAGCCUUCACGGCUUGUUUUCUAAUUAAUCGUAUGCCAUCUGUUGUCCUUCACGGUAACAUUCCUUAUAAUGUGUUAUUUCCCUCUUGAGUCUCUAUUUCCCAUUGAACCUCAUAUCUUUGGGUGCACUUGUUUUGCUCAUGAUGUUCGUCCGCAAGUUACCAAAUUGGAUCCCGAGUCUCUCAAGUGUGUCUUUCUUGGAUACUCUCGUCUUCAAAAGAGGUAUCGAUGUUUUUCUCUUACUCUUAAUAAAUAUCUUGUAUUUGCUGAUGUUGCAUUUUUUGAGUCAAUCAUCUGUGUAAGAGGGUCUAGGGAAGGAGGAUGAUCUCUUAAUAUAUAUUGUCCAACCAAUGUCUAAUCCUCUCCCACAGCCUGUUCCUUC